Juglans regia (Persian walnut) is the source of this 1138-nucleotide long non-coding RNA. RefSeq lists it as uncharacterized. The transcript has 2 exons. The record is from RefSeq and is a predicted model, not a curated record. Lineage: Eukaryota; Viridiplantae; Streptophyta; Magnoliopsida; Fagales; Juglandaceae.
ACAUUGCACUUGCUUCUUCUUCCAUUCACAUCUCUCAGUUUCUCUGUCUCUCUCUUUCUCUGCGUAUGUGUUUGUGUGAGGAAGAGAAAAGAUGAAAGCAAGACAAAAGUUUCUGCAAGAUCACCUUGAAGUGGUUAUCAUGCAUGAAUCCAUGAACAACACCACAACCGUACUGAACCCUUUGAAAAUUGGAAUCCAUGGCAAAAAAGAACUCCAGCUUGCAGCAGACAUCUCUGCUGGCAUUCAAUUUGAGAAUGGGAGUUCUAUUGUGAUGUUGGCCUGUUCAUGUUAAUUGGGUGCUAUCCUACCUGAGCUUUAAUCUCUACCAUCUUCUUCAUCCUUUCUUUUCUUUAUUUAUCUCUUUCAAUUUUCUUUAUUUUUUGGUCUUCUUGACCUUGUAAGACCUUUUCUUGAUCUUGUAAGACCUUACACCAUAUCUAUUGCCUUUAUUUUCUAAUUUAUUAUAGGCUCUAUAUCAAAGCCAACUAAUAUAGAACUUAGUAAUUAUCUUUCCCGUUUUCCGCCCAACUCAUCUUCUCCUUCCUUGUCUAUCCCUCCUGAGCUGUUUGAAAUUACCUUGGCAUAUAUGCAUCUCUCCUCAAGAACUUGUCCUGUAUACAGAAGACUACUUGAUGAUCACAUCUCAGAGUUCAUGCAAGCAAUGGAGCCUUCUCAAUUGCAACGUGGAUGACUUUGUUUUCACAUGUAAAUAUAGAAGGAUCGAAGAAAAUGCAAGAAGAAGUGGUCCUUGAGGUGGAGUUGUAUACAAAAUCUAGAAUAUGUUAAACAAAAUAAUUUCCUUGUUGUUUUCAUUCACAAUCAAUACUCUUUGUUUCUUAUUCUGUAUGUUGAGGCCUUCAAUUUCAAUAUUGUAUUAUUGUGCACUGCAGAAAUAUGCUGCUGCUGCUUGCAGGGCAUCAGUUUCGUUGUUUUAUAUGUUGUUGGCUGACCGGAAGAUGAGGAAGAGAAUAAAUAUUGUUCUCUCAGAUCUGUGGAAGAGUUCCCUCUCGUGACUGCUCUUAUAUGUACAAAAUAUCCACUGUAUUAUUGGAGCUCUCUCUCUCUCUCUCUCUCCAAAAGACUUUUUUGUAGUACUAAGGAAGUUGCUGUUCAUGGAAAAAAGCUGAUUUACUCUUGA